GAUGAACGCUGGCGGCGUGCUUAACACAUGCAAGUCGAACGGAAAGGCCCUGCGUUUGUGGGGUUCUCGAGUGGCGAACGGGUGAGUAACACGUGAGUAACCUGCCCUUGUCUUUCGGAUAACUUCAGGAAACUGGGGCUAAUACCGGAUAGGAGCUCCUGCUGCAUGGUGGGGGUUGGAAAGUUUCGGCGGUUGGGGAUGGACUGGCGGCUUAUGAGCUUGUUGGUGGGGUAGGUGCAGACCAAGGCUGUGACGGAUAGACGGCCUGGGAGGGUGGCCGGCCACAAUGCUACUACGGUAGGGCGCAGACUGGUACGGUAGGCAGCGGUGGGGAGUCUUGCGCAAUGGGCGCAAGCGGGAUACAGCAGCGCCGCGUGCGGAAUGACGGCUUUCGGGUUGAGAACAGCUUUCGCCUGUGACGCAGCGUGAGUGACGGUAAUGAGUAAAGAAGCACCGGCUAACUACGUG
This 468-nucleotide ribosomal RNA is filed under the name uncultured bacterium. Its description in RNAcentral is "partial 16S ribosomal RNA". It matches the Rfam family "Bacterial small subunit ribosomal RNA", at positions 28 to 507 of the family's 1533-position model. The record is from RNAcentral.